RNAcentral lists this ribosomal RNA (497 nucleotides) under uncultured bacterium. Its description in RNAcentral is "partial 16S ribosomal RNA". It matches the Rfam family "Bacterial small subunit ribosomal RNA", at positions 28 to 507 of the family's 1533-position model. The record is from RNAcentral.
GAUGAACGCUGGCGGCGUGCCUAAUACAUGCGAGUCGAGCGAACAGACGAGGAGCUUGCUCCUCUGACGUUAGCGGCGGACGGGUGAGUAACACGUGGAUAACCUACCUAUAAGACUGGGAUAACUUCGGGAAACCGGAGCUAAUACCGGAUAAUAUAUUGAACCGCAUGGUUCAAUAGUGAAAGACGGUUUUGCUGUCACUUAUAGAUGGAUCCGCGCCGCAUUAGCUAGUUGGUAAGGUAACGGCAUACCAAGGCAACGAUGCGUAGCCGACCUGAGAGGGUGAUCGGCCACACUGGAACUGAGACACGGUCCAGACUCCUACGGGAGGCAGCGGUAGGGAAUCUUCCGCAAUGGGCGAAAGCCUGACGGAGCAACGCCGCGUGAGUAAUGAAGGUCUUCGGAUCGUAAAACUCUGUUAUUGGGGAAGAACAAAUGUGUAAGUAACUAUGCACGUCUUGACGGUACCUAAUCAGAAAGCCACGGCUAACUACGUG